CUACGGGAGGCAGCAGUGAGGGAUAUUGCGCAAUGGGGGAAACCCUGACGCAGCGACGCCGCGUGGGUGAUGAAGGCCUUCGGGUCGUAAAACCCUUUUGCCACUGACGAGACAAGGACGGUAGGUGGCGAAUAAGCCUCGGCUAACUACGUGCCAGCAGCCGCGGUAAAACGUAGGAGGCGAGCGUUAUCCGGAGUUACUGGGCGUAAAGCGCGCGCAGGCGGUUCGUUAAGUGGGGCGUGAAAGCCCCGUGCUAAACGCGGGGAGGACGAACCAUACUGAUGAACUGGAGUAGAGCAGAGGGACAUGGAAUUCCGGGUGUAGCGGUGAAAUGUGCAGAUAUCCGGAGGAACACCAGAGGUGAAAACGGUGUCCUGGGCUCAUACUGACGCUGAGGCGCGAAAGCGUGGGGAGCGAACGGGAUUAGAUACCCGAGUAGUCC
This 442-nucleotide ribosomal RNA is filed under the name uncultured bacterium. RNAcentral describes it as "bacterial SSU rRNA". It matches the Rfam family "Bacterial small subunit ribosomal RNA", at positions 339 to 796 of the family's 1533-position model. The record is from RNAcentral.